GCUCGAGUCUGGAGCUGCAUGUAAGGUGGAAAUCAGGUCCGGUCACCUCUCCAUUGCUGACGGCCAUCACUGUUGUCUGCUUUCUUCUUCUUCCUUUUUUUUUUUGGUAGCGGGAAUCGAAUUCAGGACCUUGUGCUUGCCAGGCAGGCGCUUGUGCCCCUGAGCUACAUCCCCGGCCCUGUCUGUGUUCUUCUUGAGGAACUUCAAAAGAGGAAGGUGCCCGCACAGGCUGCCAAGACGGUACCAGUCAGCAUCUCGAGUUCCUGCUCAGUUCUGUGGGAAUCACAGACUGGGACCGUGUGGCUCUUCCCGAGCUCCAAACGGCCGCGGCUGUCAGCUCCUGUGGCUUGUGGCCGCCCUCAUGCUCGUGCCCAGCAGUCAGCCACGGGCCUCGGGAGCUCUUCUGGCCCCUGCAGAGUUGCUGCUCUCUGGCUGCUGCCACUGUCGGGGCCACUGAGCUGGCUGCCGACUGCUUUCGACCUGAGCAACCUUUGCACUUACCAGCUCUGACAGCUGGCGACCUUUGAUCAGAGAAACUCUUUGGGCACUGGCGACCUUUGAUCAGAGAAACUCUUCUUGUAGGAGCUUAGCAUGCUCUGCUUGAGCUAGAAAUCAUGAAUAGGCAAAAAUAUGCCUUCCAAAAUAGGCUUUCUUAGAACUUAUGCUGCAGAAUAAGGGAGAACAAUGUACAGACUGACCUAAGAGUAUGGGAACACUACUCACGCAGGAAAAAGGCAGGCUCCUGCGCGCGCAGGGUCAGACCCGCCGCUGGCCGUGGCGAGGGAAGGGGCUCCGCACGGACCUCGUUGCUGAAGGCGCAGAGCGGGGAGCCAGCCAGAGAGAUCACAGGGCAGUCGUCGGGGGUAGGUCUGCUCCCCACACUUGCCGCAGCCGGAGGAGCUCGGUCCUGGAGUGGCAGCGGGCAUCGGAUGCGGCUGCUCCCAGCUGCCAGGCGCUGGGGCGGCCGCGGAAGGAAAAGGCGAGCGCCCCUGGGGGGCACCGGACCGCCCCUCCGUCUCCGUCUCAGUUUAAUGUGUCAGUGAUUCCGCAAUUAAAGUCCUAGGCAGAGGAUGGGGACGGAAUAGUGGCACAGCCCAGCACCAGUCCAGCGCUCCAUUCAUCACUGCCCAAGGGCAGCUGCACAACCUUCACAAUGAUCCCAGGAAGAGGGAAGGAAGGGGAAGCGCCGGCUCCUUGGAACGGUGAGUCACCGCCCAGCAGCGGAUGU
Chinchilla lanigera (long-tailed chinchilla) is the source of this 1228-nucleotide long non-coding RNA. NCBI's taxonomy places the organism in Eukaryota, Metazoa, Chordata, Mammalia, Rodentia, Chinchillidae. The record is from Ensembl.